UUAUGCUGACACUCAGAGACACCGUCUUGGUCCGAACUACCUUCAGCUGCCAGUUAAUGCACCCAAAUGUGCUCAUCACAACAAUCACCAUGAGGGGUUCAUGAACUUCAUGCACAGGGACGAGGAGGUAUAUGAAAUAUGACAGUAUAUUAGUAUCUUUAUAUUAAACUUUUGGAAGCUAGAAUGUGGUUAUCUUACAAGAAGAUAUGUUGUUAUAGGUAAACUACUUCCCAUCGAGGUAUGAUCCUGUUCGUCAUGCUGAGAAGUAUCCAACUCCACCUGCUGUCUGCUCUGGGAAACGUGAGAGGGUAAGUAAUCAUAUCAACACAAGGAUUUUUCACACAAGAAACAUAUGAACUAAUAGUUUACUGUUGUGUGUUUGCAGUGUGUUAUUGAGAAAGAGAACAACUUCAAGGAGCCUGGAGAGAGAUACCGUUCCUUU
RNAcentral lists this long non-coding RNA (442 nucleotides) under Brassica napus (rape). RNAcentral's name for it is "long non-coding RNA (BNAP_LNC026364)". The record is from RNAcentral. Lineage: Eukaryota; Viridiplantae; Streptophyta; Magnoliopsida; Brassicales; Brassicaceae.